AGAGUUUGAUCAUGGCUCAGGAUGAACGGCUGGCGGCAUGCCUAACACAUGCAAGUCGAACGAAGCCUUCGGGCUUAGUGGCGCACGGGUGCGUAACGCGUGGGAAUCUGCCCUUGGGUUCGGAAUAACAGUUAGAAAUGACUGCUAAUACCGAAUGAUGUCUUCGGACCAAAGAUUUAUCGCCUUUAGAUGGGCCCGCGUUGGAUUAGCUAGUUGGUGGGGUAAAGGCCUACCAAGGCGACGAUCCAUAGCUGGUCUGAGAGGAUGAUCAGCCACACUGGGACUGAGACACGGCCCAGACUCCUACGGGAGGCAGCAGUGGGGAAUAUUGGACAAUGGGCGAAAGCCUGAUCCAGCAAUGCCGCGUGAGUGAUGAAGGCCUUAGGGUUGUAAAGCUCUUUUACCCGAGAUGAUAAUGACAGUAUCGGGAGAAUAAGCUCCGGCUAACUCCGUG
RNAcentral lists this ribosomal RNA (454 nucleotides) under uncultured bacterium. RNAcentral describes it as "bacterial SSU rRNA". It matches the Rfam family "Bacterial small subunit ribosomal RNA", at positions 8 to 507 of the family's 1533-position model. The record is from RNAcentral.